Molecule: long non-coding RNA, 1464 nt
Filed under: Homo sapiens (human)
Lineage: Eukaryota; Metazoa; Chordata; Mammalia; Primates; Hominidae
Description: HSALNT0066053
Source: RNAcentral
UUUCAAGCUACCAAUACGAUGCUCACUGAAUGUGGAGCUAGGAAGAGAUGCCAGGGUCAGCUCUUGUGAGCUGGUACCUGUUGGCUCCCGUACACCGCUAGCCAGCAGUCAGAACAGACACAACGAGAACACACUUGGAGGAGAGGAGGAGUUGGAACUCAGAUGAGGAGGUUAGGGGUCUACAGUCCUACAGAGCUGUAAUACAGCCUACGGAAACGAGUUUGAAAAUGGAAAACUAUGCUGAAUAAACUGCUUAUGACCCAACAUCAUUCCAAAGCAGAGUUGAGACUAUGGUAUAGCCGUGCACAGUGUAAGGCAUGAAGGUUGGACGAGGAUCCAGGUUCUGCAGGGGAUGGGGAUGCUGAGUAAGUGAGACACGUUUCUACAGCUUCUAGCCUGCCCAGUGCCUGCAAUGACAUCGCUGUUGCUGAUGAAGACUUACUGUUCUCAAGUGCUUAUCACACUGGGAGGAUGGCAACUGGGCAAAGCAGACACAGAAGGACAUCAUGCUGCUGACUCGUGGCUUCAGACUCUCAGUCUCCUGUAUUCCUUCCUCCUGCAAUUGCAGGGGGUGCACAAAACAUUUGCAGGCAUGAACGCAGUGAAGCAAAUAGUUGUUCUUAGGAACAAUUUCCCUUGGAGUCUUUCACAGACACCUGGAGCAAACUGGUGCUCAGGGGCACAAGGUUCCAGCUAAAAGAAACAGAAAAGUUCACAGGCUUUCCAUAUGUCCUCUGGAAAAAAACAGAAAGCCUCAAAGAUUGUUCUAAUGUUUGGACUUCAAGUUCACAGGAGUCAGCUGUAACUCAGAGGCCGUGUGCUCAAGCCAUGAAGAUGCCUGGAAUUGAGAAGACAAGAGAUCAGAUGUCAGGAGCAAGGGAGCACCAGUGGUAGAAGAACCUGCCUCCCCUGGCUCCAUCAAAGGCCACAGGCCCAUGAGAAUCACCCGGCCUGCUCUGAGCAGCACACUCGGAGGCCACAGCCACGCACAGGAAAGUGAGAGGAAGUGGAAACGUGCGAGCAGAGGGCUCAAAGCGACGGGCUCACCACCGGAAAAAAAAAAUAAAAAUAAACACGCUCAGAAAUAGUGUAACUGAUAUGCAAAGAAGAUCAAAACAAGGGUUUUAAAAUAUCUUGGCUGCUUUAGAGGAGAUGGGGGUGGUAAUUAAAGCGAGGUUGCAAAUGCGUGUUAGGGGAGUGGGGCGGUUAGGUGGAUGGUUCACUGAAGCCUGCCAGGACAUGGGAGCCUGGGAGCCCAAGGGUAUUUCAGAUGAAAAUGUGGCACUUAUAUGUGGAAUGUAAAAGAAAGUUGAACUCAUAGAAGCAGAGAAUAAAAUGGUUAUUCUCAGAGGCUGCCAGGUGGUGGGACUGGGGAGAUGUUGGUCAAAGGACACAUUUUAAUAAAUUCAAGAGAUUCAUUGCCCAUCACGGUGACUAUAGUUAACAUCAAUACAUUUUAUAUUG